GGCCAGCAGCCGCGGUAAUACAGAGACUGCAAGCGUUAUUCGGAUUCACUGGGCGUAAAGGGUGCGCAGGCGGUCGCGUGUGUCAGGUGUGAAAGCCCGGAGCUUAACUCCGGAAUUGCGCCUGAAACUACGUGACUAGAGCAUUGGAGAGGGUAGCGGAAUUCACGGUGUAGCAGUGAAAUGCGUAGAUAUCGUGAGGAACACCAGAGGCGAAGGCGGCUACCUGGACAAUUGCUGACGCUCAGGCACGAAAGCGUGGGGAGCAAAAGGGAUUAGAUACCCCUGUAGUCCACGCCCUAAACGGUGCACACUAGGUCUUGGCGGAUUCGACCCCACCAGGGCCCAAGCUAACGCGUUAAGUGUGCCGCCUGAGGACUACGGCCGCAAGGCUAAAACUCAAAGGAAUUGACGGGGGCCCGCACAAGG
RNAcentral lists this ribosomal RNA (426 nucleotides) under uncultured bacterium. RNAcentral describes it as "bacterial SSU rRNA". It matches the Rfam family "Bacterial small subunit ribosomal RNA", at positions 506 to 930 of the family's 1533-position model. The record is from RNAcentral.